GCUUCGCAUGCUGAUGGAUCUAUAGUAGGUGCUCCGUUCUCACAAACCAAGUUGAUAAGGAGAGGGUCUGCUUCCUCUGAACGACAUCUUUUCUUUUCUAUGUUGGAAACAUUGCUAUUGCCUUGAGCAGAACCACCAGCAGAAGGCAUGGGAUGCAAUGUCUGGACAUCAGGACAAUUAAACAUAUUCAUUUUUGUUGAAAUGAAGUCU
This 210-nucleotide unclassified non-coding RNA is filed under the name Hevea brasiliensis (rubber tree). Lineage: Eukaryota; Viridiplantae; Streptophyta; Magnoliopsida; Malpighiales; Euphorbiaceae. The record is from RNAcentral.